Long non-coding RNA from Dermacentor silvarum, 857 nucleotides. RefSeq lists it as uncharacterized. The record is from RefSeq and is a predicted model, not a curated record. The transcript has 3 exons. NCBI's taxonomy places the organism in Eukaryota, Metazoa, Arthropoda, Arachnida, Ixodida, Ixodidae.
CAGAUAAUUGCGCUGAAAAUACAGAACAAUCCGUAUGCCAGGUCAUUCUGCAGCAACACUGACAGGAGAAAUGCUCUCAAGCGUUUGAUGGCGGAAGAAUCAGCGUCCGACGAAGACACGAACGGUCACAACAGCGCGGCGCGGCAGUCGGCCAGGACUGAAAGCCCCGAAACGUUUUAUACCUCGCCCACCACGUGUAGCACUGCGACGGCAGUUAACCAGCGCUUGACGAGCAUGGCCCGUCACUAGUGAGCGGAUACGACUUGAAUACGGCUCCGCAUUUGCCAUCUACGUACACUCCGUACACCUGCUCGACGCCGUCUCAGCCCCUCUUCGGUUUGCACGGUGCCUACUCGACCGGCCUGGACUGGUACUCGCCGCUGUACAGUCUAGCUCAACAAUUGUACUACUCUCCCGCACCUUCAGCAAUGGCCGGACCGUGCCGCCCAUACGUGCCUUCUCCGUACCUGAACGCGGCUACGGCACCUGUGAUGUCACCGUUAUUUCUACCGGGACUUGUCGGUGGUAGCCAAACUGCGAAUUCCGCAAUGUCUGUGCCAUCGAUUCCGCCGACGUCGUCUGCUACAACGAUGCCGUCUGCCGCAUCAGCGUCGUCUGCUGCCUCGUCGUUGUCUACUCAGUCGACGCCUGUAACUUCAACGUCAUCGCUGGCAAAUGUGUCGUCAGCGACGCCAAUGUUUUCCGCCUUGUCGCUGCCAUUCAGUACCACGUCAGCGUCUCAGCACACCAAAAAUAAUUCUACAUUGUGAGCGCGUUGGCCAUUCCAGUGGCGACGGUACAAUCAUUGUUUGAGUCAUAGGAACAUGAUCAAAGCUGUGCAGAAGAGAGUGCUUAUA